UAGGAUUACAGGCGUGAGCCAUUGUGCCCAGCCAAUUCCAAAGAUAUUUUAAAUUUCCCUGGAAGAAAUAAGAAUGAGAAUUCCUAGAGUGGCACAUUGAGUUUGUUCCUCAAAUACUAUUUGAAUUUACCCUGCAAAUAUGUGGUGUCAGGUGGGCGUUGUGUAAUGGAAUUUGAAGGACAUCUGUGACCAUCUAUAAGGAGCUGAGAUUUAUAAAUUUCUUGAGUAGGCAUUUUAGAGAGGCUCGAUGAGGCAUUGAGAGCUGAUGUUUCCCCAAGUGGAAUGAACACAUCAGGUGUUACAUGACUCAGAUUCUGUUUUAAGUUAGACUCAAUCCACACUACAGACUUGGAGGGUCAGAAUAAUAAUGUGAAUCAGCAUGUGUUGUAAGAUGCAUGACAUUUCUACAUCUGUCAGCAAUGACAAAUGUUCUUUCUCUUUCUCAGAUUCAACUAGAUAAGUGGAUGUUUGCUUCAUUCUUAUUUUGAACAGUUGACUAUAUCAAGAAACCACACCACUUAUUUAUGCCCAUAUUAGGCAGUACAGUAUCUGAUGGAAAGGACUCUGGUAAUUCAAUUUAAUAUGUAACACGCUUCACACCGUGACACAGCAGGAGAGCCCAGAGUGGCAGCUGUUGGAAUGAAUGCCCUCUUCCUGCUUAAGUCUGACAUUUCCAAGAGUAAAGUGGGGAGUCCUGUUUUUUCAGAAACAUAGCAGCAUCAGAGAUGUGGCUAUUGUGAUCAGAAUUACUUGGCUAGGUGAGUUUUGGGUUUGAUUUACUUUUUCAUAUUUGUCUUUCUGCAUAUAUAACAUAUUUUCCUACGGAGAAAGAUAUGCUGAAGUUAAACUUCACGUGAGCUGACUACCUAAAAUUACAGCUGUUAGCAAUUUUUAAUAAAACACUAUCCACCGCACUAUAAAAACGGAUUCCAUUUUCAUAAUGUUUGUGUCAUUCCACUGAACAGUGCAGUUAGAAAUCCCAGAAGCAAAUGCAGCACAAAUUGGAGAGCAGCUGUGUAGAGGUGACUUCUAAUCAUAAUUGAGCACAAACAGGAAUAAAUAAAUCAAGGACGAAACUUCUCAACUUCUGAUGCCUGGCGAUGUCAGUUUUAAAGCCAGAUAAAUAUCAAGCGAAUUGCAAAAGAAAUUACACAGCAGAUAGAAGAGUGACAGUCAAACCCCCACCCUUUCUGGGAACACUCCUAUGUACCAGAAACACAAGAACUUUAUUUUGAAACCUGGAUGACAUAUUUGAAACUGCUGGUGUUCCUGACUUUAGCUUGGCAGAAAUGCCAGCUGAGUGUGCACAUAGCACAGGUGGACGAAUGGCAAACAAGACACCUCACAGCUGUAGGCAAGGAGGUGCUUCUAAGGGCAUACAGUCUGGGCAGUGCCAAGGAAGACAGGUAUGAUACGAAGAGGGAGGACAGGCUGGAAUUUGGGGGUUUUGUCAUCAGUGUGUGUGUAUUAAAAUAUAUUGGUGCAUUUUUGAAAGUUAAUUGGGGUUGGAUUUUCAGCUGAGGCCUCAUUCUUAGGAAAUAAUGUGAUGGCAAUAAAUGUCAGCCUUAGCUAGUGACCCUUAAAAAGCUAAACCAGGAUACAAAUAACAACUUGGCAAAGGUUCCUAUUUGGUGCACUCCUUUUGUGCUCUGCCUUUGUCCUGAGUCUGCUUUGCCAAACACUCCGCCUUCAAGCACUGUUUUUAGGGAGAAGAGGCCAUUCUUUCCGAAGAGGGAACAGCUGAGAAAAGGACCAGCUGACAGAGGGAACUGGGACACUCCUAGCUGCUUUAAAGCCAUACCACAGGGCCUGUGAGUUUGUAACAAGACAAUGUUUUCUUGUUGCUGCCUUACCUAAGCCC
Molecule: long non-coding RNA, 1861 nt
Organism: Sapajus apella (tufted capuchin)
Lineage: Eukaryota; Metazoa; Chordata; Mammalia; Primates; Cebidae
Exons: 2
Source: RefSeq, a predicted model, not a curated record